AUAGAUACCCUGGUAGUCCACGCCGUAAACGUUGGGCGCUAGAUGUGGGGACCAUUCCACGGUUUCCGUGUCGCAGCUAACGCAUUAAGCGCCCCGCCUGGGGAGUACGGCCGCAAGGCUAAAACUCAAAGGAAUUGACGGGGGCCCGCACAAGCGGCGGAGCAUGCGGAUUAAUUCGAUGCAACGCGAAGAACCUUACCAAGGCUUGACAUGCACCAGAAUGGGCCAGAAAUGGUCAGCUCUUUGGGCACUGGUGUACAGGUGGUGCAUGGUUGUCGUCAGCUCGUGUCGUGAGAUGUUGGGUUAAGUCCCGCAACGAGCGCAACCCUCGUUCUAUGUUGCCAGCACGUGAUGGUGGGAACUCAUAGGAGACUGCCGGGGUCAACUCGGAGGAAGGUGGGGAUGACGUCAAAUCAUCAUGCCCCUUAUGUCUUGGGCUUCACGCAUGCUACAAUGGCCGGUACAAAGGGCUGCGAUGCCGUAAGGUGGAGCGAAUCCCAAAAAGCCGGUCUCAGUUCGGAUUG
Molecule: ribosomal RNA, 524 nt
Filed under: uncultured bacterium
Lineage: Bacteria
Description: bacterial SSU rRNA
Rfam family: Bacterial small subunit ribosomal RNA
Source: RNAcentral